RNAcentral lists this long non-coding RNA (2196 nucleotides) under Malus domestica (apple). RNAcentral describes it as "long non-coding RNA (MDOM_LNC011981)". Lineage: Eukaryota; Viridiplantae; Streptophyta; Magnoliopsida; Rosales; Rosaceae. The record is from RNAcentral.
CUCUACAGGCAUUGUAAAUUAGAGGGUUCCGAGCAGACUAUUAUUCUACAUAGACCUCCUGCUAAGGCCUAGAACAGCAAGCACAACUAGGAAGAAGAAUGCCAGAGAUCCAAGGAAGGACAGGGCGGUGGAGGCUGCGACUAGGUGGCAGAAUUUUCCGAAAACGUUGCAGACCUUGUUCCACUGCACACGUGUAUUCCCUUGAUACCCCAUUAGGCCAAUUGCCCCGGCAGAUCCAAUGGCGGAAAAGAGCAACGCCACCAUUGACAGAUCGAGCACGAUGAUCACCAGCCCUAACUUAUUCUUCGUGCCCCGAUUCGCAAAAGAAAGGACUAGGGAAAAUGCUGCAUAUGCGCAUGCUAUGGCGUCUGCUGCCACAAGGUACCUAGCACAUAUUCAAUCUUGGUAAAAUUAGUUGCUUAAACAAUUACUGCAGAAUUAGCAAAAUAAUUAUAAAAAAAAUUUAGUCAAGAAAUAACACGCGUAGGUAAUUUAGGAUACAAGUAUACUAGUCUAGACUGAGGUAUCCAGGACCAUGCUAGCUAGCUGAUUGAAUUUUUGCGAGCGAAAGUGGUUGAGGUUAUUAAUUAAGUGAUUAAACUUUUUCUUCAACUUAAUUUUCCUGUCACAACAAUACAGAUGGAGUACUGAUGACAAGGGACCAGGGAGGAUUCCGUACUUACGAGGGACUUGUAAAGUCUUGUCCUGACUUGAUACCUCCAUGUACAUGUGGAGAGGAAUACUACCAGAUUGUAGUUUUACUAGCAUCUUGCAUAGGUGAAAAACUUAUAUGACACAUGUACACUACUACGGUGACAUCGAAAAAAAGAUAUAUAUGAGUGUUUGUUAUAUCCUUAUUUUAUUAACAAGAGACGUCAUAUGAUGAUAUACCGGUAUCAUAUAAGUUGUUCGCCUUGCAUAGAGAAUUAUACGUACUCAAAUUCAGGAAAAAUGUAGCGGAGAAUUUUAUUGAGAUAAGGCAUGGCAACGGACUGAGUGAGUGAGCCAUAUGAGUUGGGUAUAACUUUGAAGCAAAGAUUAUCUUCCACUACAUCAAUCUUCAUCUAUGACUCGUGUUCUGUUUGAUCUGAGAAAAGACCUCGUUUAUGACAAAAAUUAUAUUCUUACCAUCUAUUUAUUUCAUCUCUUUAAUAGAGAUGAAAUCCACACAUGUUAAUGAGUCUAUCUUUAUUAAAAAGAUCACACAAAUAGACGGUAAAUCUAGCAUCACUCUGUUUACAAUUUCCACAUAAGCCUCAAUUUGUAUGGAAUGAACUCUUGUUUUACGCAAAAUAAAUAUAUAAAUAAAUGCAUGUGUUCACUGCAUUAGUAACACCACGUGGAAAAGUAACCAUAUCAAUUUGAAUAAUGUAUGGUAUUGCUUUCUUGCUCUACGUUGAUAGAUAUCUCGUACAUUAUGUUUGACGCUGUUAAUUUGGAUCACACAAAUACAUAAAAUUUCACAUAGUUAAAGAUGGAAAUUUCAAUUUGUUGCCAAGCAUAACGUAUACUGCUAAUUACAUAUACAAAGAAGAUUUUACCUUAGUUUACACAUAACAUACUAGAUUGUCUAACAUAACAUAAGCUUUUACUUUUGACCACCUAUUUAAACAAAACUUCACCUAAUUAAGGUCUACCCGAUUAACAGUUUGGCAACAUAAAUGUCUGACAUAACUUGAAGGUUGAUGAAAGAAUACAAGUGAUGCAUCAAAGGAUUUUCCUACCCGUUAUAUUGAACUCAAAGACUAUGACACACAUAUGUUAUCCACAAAAUCCAUAGAUUGCUUGGUAAUGUAUUUAUAUAUCUGGACAUUCACAUGUAAGUUUCCCAUAACAUUACACUUUUAGAGGAAAAGUUUGACAACAAGAAUUUAUUUAUUUAUCUCUUCAAUUAAGCUUUUGAAGUAAUUUUGUAUAAAACUUAGAGUUGUCGGAGUGUUUUUAAGUUUAAUUUACUAUUAAAACUUGUCGAAAGAGAGAGAGAGAGAGCGCUCACACAAAAGCAGAUAAGUAAUGCCACUUAGCCGUAGCAGGAACAUCAAUAGGAGGCAAGGUUGGGAUGAGCUUCAACGAUACAAUUUCGGUUUGCUUACCGACUCCAAGGACAAUAGAAGCCGUAAGAGUUAGCACCAAGGCCAAAAUCCUCAGAAUCGACUCACGUGUCCCACCUCCUCUUUGGUUUGCUAUCUUCACUUC